Potamilus streckersoni is the source of this 67-nucleotide non-coding RNA. The record is from the annotation of a GenBank genome assembly. NCBI's taxonomy places the organism in Eukaryota, Metazoa, Mollusca, Bivalvia, Unionida, Unionidae.
GUGGUUUAGUAGUUAGAGCAUCCGCCUCGGAUGCGGGAGGUCGUGGGUUCUAUCCCCGGCCAAAUCA